UAGGAUGGGUACAGAAUCCCAGUGUUAAUUUCUCAUCAUAAAAAUAGGGGUUUCAAUUUCCAGAAGCUUGUCCUUUCUUUGCCUCCCCAGACUGAAACCCAGGCAGGGUGCAUUUCCCAUGUGUCAAUAUUGAGUGUAAAGACAUUUCUCACAAGUUGAAAAGAAAUCAUGAAAAUAUCUUUACCAACCUCUUUUAGUAGACAUUGACUUUGACAUGGAUCUAAGCUCAACUUAGCUGAAGCAGUUUUCACCAGGGGACAAUAUGUAUUUCUAAAUUGCCUGUAACAUUCUAAAUAAUAAAAGAGCAAGCUAAGGAGGGAGAGAGAAAAAAAAGAGAGAGAUUGAGAGAGAGAGAGAGAUCCAAUAGUUUCCAUCUAAUAAAGUCUGACAAACGAGAGCUAGACAUGGUUUUGGUUUGAUACGGAGAAAGCUGAUAUACAAGAUUACCAGACACUCCUCUGGGGAGGAGUGAAACUUCACCUUUUUAACAUUUUGUUAAUAGGCUGAGUUCAACAGUACAGUGAAAAUGUUCAAAUGGAAGUUAAGCCACAGCUGGUUUAUAAAGUUGCUUUUUGCACUCCUGCACUAAGAUCAACUUUUUGAAAAUAUCAGCAGCUGCACUCUGGACUGUAGUCUCUCACCCAGGAGGGAAGGGUACUUUCCCUCUAAAGCAUCAUGCUGCUUGGGCUGCAGACAGAUGGUACAACCAGGAGCCUCCUGGGCACACAAAUGUGAAACUGUUAGAGAAUCUGGGUGUGAAAGACUCGCUUCUUACAGAAUGACCUAGAAAAUUAGGCAAAUCAUGUAAAGCAGUUGUUGGCCCAGCUAAGUAUCCUUUGACUUCCCUGCUAUCAAUCAGCUAGCUCUGUGCAAGGUGUGUCCACACUCGUUCACUGAAGGAGAGAGAAAGAAAACAUUCAUUAAAAUUAACUCAGACUCACUUUAAAUUCAACUCAUAGAACUAGAGUAAAUUCCUGGGCUGGAAGCACAGAAUCAGCAUUUGUGACACAAAAUCAAGGAGAUUUAUUUACCACAAGGUGCAGAGAUGAUGCCAUACUCUUGCUUUUUACUUCUGUCUAUCGAUCUUGAAUACUCUGAGCCUCCCCAGUCCAGUAACUGAUCAAGCUCAGCAGUGGCUCAUUUUCUGUAGGCCUGUAGCUAUAUAUAGUAGCAUUCUCAGUAUCACAUGAGGGUUUUUUUAAGCAGUAUUUGAAGAAAUACAUGAGUCACCAGAUGACUCCCUUUGAACAAUGAAAGUUUUAUUCACCAGUAUUGUAAAGAUAUGGCCAAAGCUCAUAACAUAUACUCAAAAGAAAUUAUCUGCAAAGACAAUAAAACACCUCUGCAAUACAUUUCCUUGACUGCCUUUAUCUUUAUGUGCUUCAAAACAAAGGAAUUUUUUGUCAUGCGUGUUCCAUCUUUUGGGUCUUCGUGUCUGAUGCGCCCCUUAACUGAGGUUUGUGGGUUUGGUUUGACUCUUUACAAAGAGAGACUGACAACAUGGCUGAUUUGGGCUUGAACUCCAAACUGCCACGAUUCUUCAUGGUGUGGUAAAGGCUUGAUUCACGUCUAUCCUCAUAAGCACUUUCUAAUGUUUGCUAGCACACUGCAUUUUUAGCUGUUAAUCAUGUUGUUUUCAUACUACAUUCCUCUCCCCCAGAAUUCCCAACAUUGGUCUCUUAUUAUAUCUGCUAAAAAAAUCAACCAGCGUAUAUAUAUUUGUCUCCUAAGUCAAGAAGACCACAAGUGGGAGUAGCACUGCAACCAUUAAUGGAGUAAUGGGGCAGUGUUAUCAUUUAUGUUUUCACUGUGCCAGUAAGGACAAGCUGUGGUUUACAGAUUUCACAAUCUUGCUUUGUCAGACAGACAGACUGCUAUGUAAAAUACUCCACAAAAUCCUGAAAGGAACUUGAAGUCAGAUCCAGUUCGAGUUUCAGCUAGAUGAGCCAGCUGAAAAAAUCAAAGAUGAAAAAGGGGGAAAAAAACACCAGACUAUUUCUUCCUAAAUUGUGUCAGUUUGAUUUCUGGCAGACACAGGUUGAGUUUAUUAUUGCAUUUUCUAAUACCCCCAAGCUUUGGGGCAUUUCUCUUUGCAAUUUUGCUGAAUUUAUCAUCAUGCUAUUAGCUCAGCCUGCUUAAUAGUCUGUGUCUGGGAGGCAGCUGGUCCUGCUCCUGAGAGAAGCCCCCACCCCACACAUUUAACACUCUCAAGCCACUGCAAUCUUCCAUUUUCUUUUACUUUUUUCUUUUCCUUUCUUUUUCUUUUCAUUUUCCUUUUCCUUUCCCACUCUCUUUUUCUUUUCCUUUUUCUUCCUCCUUUUCUUUUUCUUUUUCACUACAAUCAUAAAUGUAUAACGUUUGUUUGUUUGAACAAACAUCCUCUCCAAGAUGAAGAAGCCAGGAACAGAAGAAUACAGAACAAUACCCUGGCCCCUUCAAAGUCUGAGGGAAUGCUGUCACUGAGGGAAUGCUGCGAUUGUCCUCAGCGAAGCCAGGAUUUUAGUCUGAGUUUUUCUGCAAAACCAGCUUAUGUGUCACAUCUUUCACAUGGACAUUUCAGAGAAUUAUCAAAAGAAGAUGCUGUUCCCUCAGCAAAUGAUUGCUCUGCCAAAAUACAGAUGCUGCAGGAGGGGAAUUCCUAUUUACCCUAGGUUAUUAUCAAGUGAGUACCCUGAUUCCAGCACUGACUGAAGCACAGAUCAAAAAAGCAGAGUUAGUAGUGCUGGUCAGCAGUGGAGCCACCAGGCCAUCAGAGCCUAGGGCAAGCACAGCACUGCAAUCCUCCUCUAACCUGGCAGCCUCCAGCCAUCCCUACACACCACCCCUUUCUCUCUCUCCUCCCAGGGAAUACCUGUCCUGCUGCAGUUCUGAUAGGAUCACAGCAGGAGGAGGAAAUAUCUAUCAAUCCCAAAUACUGCCACAGCUAACCAUCAUCUUGAUGGCCUUCGCCAUGAGGCACUGACCUUUUCUACACUGCAGUGGUUAUUGUCUUGGGCAUAGCCACUGAGUGGCAUUAAAAAAAAAAAGAGAAAGAGAGAAAUACUAAGCACACACAUCAAUCCACAAAGUAACUCUGGAAAACUGCAGACUAUAGCCACCCUCCAAAGACUUCGUCGUUUUGAGUUAGCUUCAAAAAUUCCACCUCAUCUUCAGCUUUAAUCUGAUAAACCCUGAUGAAGUUUCUGCAAAGCAAAGCCACUAGCCAGUGAACCAAACCAGUCAAGUACAUUAAAUGAGCAGCAACAACUACCAUUAAAGAACAUACAGGUGUUAAACAACAAACACUGCUGAACCCAGAAAUAGCUUUUGUCCUAUUUCUUGCAUCUCAUGCACACAAAGAAGUGUCUGCUUAUUUGUUGCCUGGCUUAGCUGCUGCUUGAUUUUGUCUUUAUAGAGGUUUAUAAACAAACUCUCAGCUUUAGCUCAGUGAAAAGAAAAAAAAGGUCAGUAUCUCCAUUAGUCACCAUUUUCAGCCUUCUCCACCUUUGAUCAUAGCCAGAAGACUCAGAAGUUUCAGAAGAACACACCUGCUAAUGACAGUAUACUUCAGAUCAAUAGUCUGGCGCUAAGAAAAAUGUACCACACAUUAAAUGUUCUUCUCAAUCUAUGCAACAUGCUGGAUCUGGUAUUUUCUGGUUCAUUAGAUAUUUAAAACAGCUGUUUUCAUUUGUAAUAUUUAGUUGUUGAACUAUUUUCUGAUCAGUCAGACUCCACCUUACUGAUUUAGUUAUGAUGGCUUUCUCUUCACGUUCCCCUGCCUAUGUCUUUGCAGUCUGAAGCUAACUCUCUUCCAAGAAUCUGUUUUACAGCUCUAAAGUACCUCUUGCAAAGUCCCCUGGUCACCAUGUAACCUUUCUGCAGUUAGCAUUACAGAUGGCCUUUCCCUAGUCAUUUUCCCCAGAACAUUCUUCCCAUUAAUCUUACAACAAAGGAUGACCUCAUGCAGUGCACUCAAAAUGACCCGACUGCUCUUCUGCAAACAAGAAUGGGUUUUGGAGAAUAGGCAGCAAGGAGAGAGGUAAGGGAAUGAUUUCCACUGUCUCUUCUAACACUAGAGAGGGAACCAAGUGAAACUUGUAGGCAGAAGGUUCAAGCAGAAAACCACACCUGGUAGCUCAAAUAAUUAAGUCUCUUUUCAUGGGAAACUGAAAAUGCCAAAAAAUUACAUGAGCUUUGCAAAGAAAGAAUUAGAUAUAUUCAUGAGGAAAAUAAAUUCAUGAAGAAGUGUUAAACAAGUUGUUCUUUCCAGCAAGUGAACUGCUGCCCCAAGUAUACCAAUUUUAAGAGAAAGUACAGAAGCCUACUCUAAUGGUCCCCUUCAGGUACUGGAAGGUCGCUAUAAGGUCCCCCUGGAGCCUCCUCUUCUCUAGGCUGAAGAGCCCCAACUAAUCUCUGCCCUUUCAGAUGCCCAGCACAAGAUCCCUUGCAUGAUGACAAUGACAGCCUCAGAGGGAAACAACAGAAUCAGGAGCAGAGGCGAGGAUCAUGUUUCCUCAAUCUGGGAUGAAUACCAGCCCUAAAUACUAGAAAAGAUCUGCAAGGCCUCAAGAGAUGGGCAUGUCCAAUGCUUAUUCACCACUGCAAAUCCAGGGAUCCUCUUCUGAAAACAUUCAGCAGACCAUCUUGCACAAGGCUAUCACAGCUCAUCAAUUUAUACAGUAAAAAUAAUGUGAAAAUUUGAGCAUUUAUUAAUUACUUUUCCAUCAUCUGUUCAUUUUGUGUGUCUUAACAUGUGCACAUAUUAUUGUCUUUGGCUGGUUUGCUUGCUUAGCAGUCAUUCCUCUGAGGCACAGGUGGAGAAGUCCAGUCCAUCUGCCUAUUGCCUCUGCAAGCCAGAGCCAGCUGUACCUAUGCAAUCUCUGACAGCUGUUUUUUUAACAGAACCAAAAGAUCCUGCUGGGAGAAACAGUGAGGGGUCUCACAUUGGAGGACUCAUUGUUCUUCUGUUUAUGAGAUGAGUUUUGCUUGUUAUUUUGGAAGGUGAGUGGAAGCAUCCCAUUGUUCAACAUGGUACUCCUGGUACAAUAACCAGGAGAUUUUAAUUUAAAGAAAUACAAGGAUGACUUUUGCCUGCCACACAGAAAUAAAAAAAGACAAUUUCACAUCUGGA
Molecule: long non-coding RNA, 5110 nt
Organism: Numida meleagris (helmeted guineafowl)
Lineage: Eukaryota; Metazoa; Chordata; Aves; Galliformes; Numididae
Exons: 2
Source: RefSeq, a predicted model, not a curated record